Molecule: ribosomal RNA, 422 nt
Filed under: uncultured bacterium
Lineage: Bacteria
Description: partial 16S ribosomal RNA
Rfam family: Bacterial small subunit ribosomal RNA
Source: RNAcentral
AAUUUUUGACAAUGGGGGAAACCCUGAUCCAGCCAUCCCGCGUGUAUGAUGAAGGCCUUCGGGUUGUAACGUACUUUUGGCAGCGAAGAAAAGGUAUCUCCUAAUACGAGAUACUGCUGACGGUAUCUGCAGAAUAAGCACCGGCUAACUACGUGCCAGCAGCCGCGGUGAUAAGUAGGGUGCAAGAGUUAAUCGGAAUUACGUGGCGGAAAAAGGGUGUAGGAGGUUCGGAAAGAAAGAUGUGAGAACACAGGGCUUAACCUUGGAACUGCAUUUUUAAAUGCCGGGCUAGAGUAUGUCAGAGGAGGGUAGAAUUACACGUGUAGCAGUGAAAAGCGUAGAGAUGUGGAGGAAUACCGAUGGCGAAGGCAGCCCCCUGGGAUAAUACUGACGAUCAGACACGAAAGAGUGGGGAGCAAAAA